GAGGGUAUAGCUCAAGAGGUAGAGCGCAUGCUUAGCAUGCGUGAGGUCCUGGGUUCAAUCCCGAGUACCUGCU
This 73-nucleotide transfer RNA is filed under the name Camelus ferus (Wild Bactrian camel). It matches the Rfam family "tRNA". From Rfam's summary of the family: Transfer RNA (tRNA) molecules are approximately 80 nucleotides in length. Their secondary structure includes four short double-helical elements and three loops (D, anti-codon, and T loops). Lineage: Eukaryota; Metazoa; Chordata; Mammalia; Artiodactyla; Camelidae. The record is from Rfam by way of RNAcentral.